GAUGAACGCUGGCGGCGUGCUUAACACAUGCAAGUCGAACGGAAAGGCCCAAGCUUGCUUGGGUGCUCGAGUGGCGAACGGGUGAGUAACACGUGGGUGAUCUGCCCUGCACUUUGGGAUAAGCCUGGGAAACUGGGUCUAAUACCGGAUAGGACCAUCGUUUAGUGUCGGUGGUGGAAAGUUUUUCGGUGUGGGAUGAGCUCGCGGCCUAUCAGCUUGUUGGUGGGGUAAUGGCCUACCAAGGCGUCGACGGGUAGCCGGCCUGAGAGGGUGUACGGCCACAUUGGGACUGAGAUACGGCCCAGACUCCUACGGGAGGCAGCAGUGGGGAAUAUUGCACAAUGGGCGCAAGCCUGAUGCAGCGAUGCCGCGUGGGGGAUGACGGCCUUCGGGUUGUAAACUCCUUUCGCCAAGGACGAAGCGUUUUGUGACGGUACUUGGAGAAGAAGCACCGGCUAACUACGUG
Molecule: ribosomal RNA, 466 nt
Filed under: uncultured bacterium
Lineage: Bacteria
Description: partial 16S ribosomal RNA
Rfam family: Bacterial small subunit ribosomal RNA
Source: RNAcentral